Long non-coding RNA from Rosa rugosa (rugosa rose), 1263 nucleotides. RefSeq lists it as uncharacterized. The transcript has 2 exons. The record is from RefSeq and is a predicted model, not a curated record. NCBI's taxonomy places the organism in Eukaryota, Viridiplantae, Streptophyta, Magnoliopsida, Rosales, Rosaceae.
UUCAGAAGGGAUCGAAGCGAGAAAUUGAAGUUUUUACGUCGGAAUUCAAGCUCGCCGGAUUCUGGAAAUUUUCCGGCCACCGACGCUUUCGAUCAAGAUAUCUCGAGCUGUAGAGCUUCGUUUUGAGUGAUUCUUGAACCAGUGAGUUCGUCUUUAAGUUCUGAACAAGUCUCCUGAAGGAAUCGAAGCGAAAGGAGGACAUUUUUACGUUGAUCGGAGCUUCGCCGACUUCUGCAAAUUCUCGCCGGUUUCUGGAAAAAAUUCCGGCCACCUCGACUGUUUUAGGUAAUUUCAACCACUUCCGGUCAUUUUCAGCUUACAUGGUAGUUAUGAAAGUUGUUAAGCAUGAUGAGAGGAAGAAGAGCAGCCCGGCCCCGACACCAUUGGUGGUGGUCGGCGGCGGCUCUGCCACUAACUCCGGCGGCCCUUUCCGGCCACCUCCGGGGGUCAAAAAUAUGGUUUCUGUACAUUUUCAGAUUCUAUAUUUCAAUACGAUCAUUUUGAUAUAUUAUACGCAAUUUUUGGAUAUCGUAUGAUUAAGUUAUGAAUUUUUAAGUUUAGAUCGAUUUCGAUCGUUAGAUUUGUGAUCUGUGAAGUUAGGACCGUCAGAUGGACUUGUAGUUUUGAUAUGAUGAUCUUAUGACUGUCCCAGUGGCUUUGUGUGGUCAUGGGCGAAGAUCCGACCGUUGGAUCUUCGUAUAAAUGCAAAACAGUGAUUAGGGAGGCGAUUCGUGAGAAUCCGUCCGUCGGAUUUUCGUAUAAAUUUGUGAAGAUGUUAGUAAGGACGAUUCAGGAAGAUCCGACCGUUGGAUCUUCGUGAUGAUUUUUGGAGGGUGAUCCUAAAGGCGAUCCGUGAGGAUCCGACCGUUGGAUCAUCAUUUAAUUUCGAUCCGACCGUUGGAUUGUUGUUUGAGUAUGUUUUUGAGUUGUUGGCUAAGUUAAGGUCAUGUUUGACUAGGUGAUUGACGGUCUUCCUUGGGUGAGCGGUUUCGGUGUGUAUUGUGUUGAAUUGAAGACGCAGCGGGAAUAUCGAGCGGGUAAUCCUGCAGGUCAGGAGAAUCAGGGCGGUGAUCGAGCGGGUUAGAGUAUUUGUUAUAGUUUUACAGCAUUUGUAAUAGUGAGGUGAGUUAAGCUCAUUGAGCCUUACAAUUUGAUUUGGUGAGAGUGUGUUGUAAUAAUUAACUUGAGGAUUUGAUUUAUUGUAAUAUUGAGAGGUGUGAAGUGUGGUUGUUUGUGAGAAAAAAAUUCAGGACGUUUAUUCUA